RNAcentral lists this ribosomal RNA (254 nucleotides) under uncultured bacterium. RNAcentral describes it as "partial 16S ribosomal RNA". It matches the Rfam family "Bacterial small subunit ribosomal RNA", at positions 524 to 776 of the family's 1533-position model. The record is from RNAcentral.
CACGUAGGGUGCGAGCGUUGUCCGGAAUUAUUGGGCGUAAAGAGCUCGUAGGCGGUGUGUCGCGUCGGCCGUGAAAACCUGCAGCUUAACUGUGGGCUUGCGGUCGGUACGGGCAUCACUGGAGUUCGGCAGGGGAGACUGGAAUUCCUGGUGUAGCGGUGAAAUGCGCAGAUAUCAGGAGGAACACCGGUGGCGAAGGCGGGUCUCUGGGCCGAUACUGACGCUGAGGAGCGAAAGCGUGGGGAGCGAACAGG